This 644-nucleotide ribosomal RNA is filed under the name Lysobacter sp. YFY01. RNAcentral's name for it is "bacterial SSU rRNA". It matches the Rfam family "Bacterial small subunit ribosomal RNA", at positions 46 to 679 of the family's 1533-position model. The record is from RNAcentral. Lineage: Bacteria; Pseudomonadati; Pseudomonadota; Gammaproteobacteria; Lysobacterales; Lysobacteraceae.
GCCUAACACAUGCAAGUCGAACGGCAGCACAGAGGAGCUUGCUCCUUGGGUGGCGAGUGGCGGACGGGUGAGGAAUACGUCGGAAUCUGCCUAUUUGUGGGGGAUAACGUAGGGAAACUUACGCUAAUACCGCAUACGACCUACGGGUGAAAGCGGAGGACCUUCGGGCUUCGCGCAGAUAGAUGAGCCGACGUCGGAUUAGCUAGUUGGCGGGGUAAAGGCCCACCAAGGCGACGAUCCGUAGCUGGUCUGAGAGGAUGAUCAGCCACACUGGAACUGAGACACGGUCCAGACUCCUACGGGAGGCAGCAGUGGGGAAUAUUGGACAAUGGGCGCAAGCCUGAUCCAGCCAUGCCGCGUGUGUGAAGAAGGCCUUCGGGUUGUAAAGCACUUUUGUCCGGAAAGAAAAGCUUCGGGUUAAUACCCCGAGGUCAUGACGGUACCGGAAGAAUAAGCACCGGCUAACUUCGUGCCAGCAGCCGCGGUAAUACGAAGGGUGCAAGCGUUACUCGGAAUUACUGGGCGUAAAGCGUGCGUAGGUGGUUUGUUAAGUCUGAUGUGAAAGCCCUGGGCUCAACCUGGGAAUGGCAUUGGAAACUGGCUUACUAGAGUGCGGUAGAGGGUAGUGGAAUUCCCGGUGUAGC